ACGGAAGGCAGCAGUGGGGAAUAUUGGACAAUGGGCGCAAGCCUGAUCCAGCAACGCCGCGUGGAGGACGAAGGUCUUCGGAUUGUAAACUCCUGUCAGGGGGGACGAAGGUCCGUCGGUGAAUAAUCGACGGACUUGACGGUACCUCCAGAGGAAGCCCCGGCUAACUCCGUGCCAGCAGCCGCGGUAAUACGGAGGGGGCGAGCGUUAUUCGGAAUUAUUGGGCGUAAAGGGCGCGUAGGCGGCCCGGUAAGUCAAAGGUGAAAUCCCUCGGCUCAACUGAGGAACUGCCUUUGAAACUGUCGGGCUUGAGGCCGGGAGGGGGUAGCGGAAUUCCCAGUGUAGCGGUGAAAUGCGUAGAUAUUGGGAGGAACACCGGUGGCGAAGGCGGCUACCUGGACCGGUUCUGACGCUGAUGCGCGAAAGCGUGGGUAGCAAACAGGAUUAGAUACCCUGGUA
RNAcentral lists this ribosomal RNA (459 nucleotides) under uncultured Acidobacteriota bacterium. RNAcentral's name for it is "bacterial SSU rRNA". It matches the Rfam family "Bacterial small subunit ribosomal RNA", at positions 341 to 792 of the family's 1533-position model. Lineage: Bacteria; Pseudomonadati; Acidobacteriota. The record is from RNAcentral.